RNAcentral lists this ribosomal RNA (1033 nucleotides) under Camarosporidiella elaeagnicola. RNAcentral's name for it is "SSU rRNA". It matches the Rfam family "Eukaryotic small subunit ribosomal RNA", at positions 69 to 1110 of the family's 1831-position model. Lineage: Eukaryota; Fungi; Ascomycota; Dothideomycetes; Pleosporales. The record is from RNAcentral.
AGGCAUUAUACCGUGAAACUGCGAAUGGCUCAUUAAAUCAGUUAUCGUUUAUUUGAUAGUACCUUACUACUUGGAUAACCGUGGUAAUUCUAGAGCUAAUACAUGCUGAAAACCCCAACUUCGGGAGGGGUGUAUUUAUUAGAUAAAAAACCAACGCCCUUCGGGGCUUCUUGGUGAUUCAUGAUAACUUUACGGAUCGCAUGGCCUUGCGCCGGCGACGGUUCAUUCAAAUUUCUGCCCUAUCAACUUUCGAUGGUAAGGUAUUGGCUUACCAUGGUUUCAACGGGUAACGGGGAAUUAGGGUUCGAUUCCGGAGAGGGAGCCUGAGAAACGGCUACCACAUCCAAGGAAGGCAGCAGGCGCGCAAAUUACCCAAUCCCGACACGGGGAGGUAGUGACAAUAAAUACUGAUACAGGGCUCUUUUGGGUCUUGUAAUUGGAAUGAGUACAAUUUAAACCUCUUAACGAGGAACAAUUGGAGGGCAAGUCUGGUGCCAGCAGCCGCGGUAAUUCCAGCUCCAAUAGCGUAUAUUAAAGUUGUUGCAGUUAAAAAGCUCGUAGUUGAAACUUGGGUCUGGCUGGCAGGUCCGCCUCACCGCGUGUACUUGUCCGGCCGGGCCUUCCUUCUGGAGAACCUCAUGCCCUUCACUGGGCGUGUUGGGGACCAGGACUUUUACUUUGAAAAAAUUAGAGUGUUCAAAGCAGGCCUUUGCUCGAAUACGUUAGCAUGGAAUAAUAGAAUAGGACGUGCGGUCCUAUUUUGUUGGUUUCUAGGACCGCCGUAAUGAUUAAUAGGGACAGUCGGGGGCAUCAGUAUUCAAUUGUCAGAGGUGAAAUUCUUGGAUUUAUUGAAGACUAACUACUGCGAAAGCAUUUGCCAAGGAUGUUUUUCAUUAAUCAGUGAACGAAAGUUAGGGGAUCGAAGACGAUCAGAUACCGUCGUAGUCUUAACCGUAAACUAUGCCGACUAGGGAUCGGGCGAUGUUCUUUUUCUGACUCGCUCGGCACCUUACUGAGAAAUCAAAGUUUUGCA